This 357-nucleotide transfer-messenger RNA is filed under the name Paracoccus suum. RNAcentral describes it as "Alphaproteobacteria transfer-messenger RNA". It matches the Rfam family "Alphaproteobacteria transfer-messenger RNA". Rfam says of the family: Bacterial tmRNA, also known as 10Sa RNA or SsrA, is named for its dual tRNA and mRNA-like properties. Its role is to liberate the mRNA from a stalled ribosome. To accomplish this part of the tmRNA is used as a reading frame that ends in a translation stop signal. Lineage: Bacteria; Pseudomonadati; Pseudomonadota; Alphaproteobacteria; Rhodobacterales; Paracoccaceae. The record is from Rfam by way of RNAcentral.
GCACUUGCGGCGCCGCACGCGGCCGCCUAUCUUCGAUCUGUUCGGGGCAACCCGGGCUAUGGACAUAAACGCGCACGUAAUAGGCGGUUCGGACCCGGGGGCGGUACCCGGCGACUCCACCAAAAUCACCCGCAUUGGGGGUGCAUGGGGUCGAAAUAGGAUCGACGGACGUUCAAAGGUGUUUGCUUUGUCCCGGUGAGGUACCACCGUUAUCGGUCCGAAAAGUACAGUUGCCAAUGACAACCGUGCUCCGGUCGCCCUUGCUGCGUAAGCAGUUCGAGUGAUCGAAAACUAAGCCCUUGCGCCUAGCAGCGUAAGGCGGGGCCCCCAGGCGCCUGGCAACAGAAGCCUGGGACU